AGAGUUUGAUCCUGGCUCAGAACGAACGCUGGCGGCGCGCCUAAUACAUGCAAGUCGAGCGAGAAGGUGUAGCAAUACACUUGUAAAGCGGCGAACGGGUGAGGAAUACAUGGGUAAUCUACCAUCGAGUGGGGAAUAACCAGCCGAAAGGUUGGCUAAUACCGCGUACGCCUCCGGAUCUUCGGGUUCGGAGGGGAAGCCACACUGUGAGUGCGGCGCUCUUUGAUGAGCUCAUGUCCUAUCAGCUUGUUGGUAGGGUAACGGCCUACCAAGGCUUUGACGGGUAGCUGGUCUGAGAGGACGAUCAGCCACACUGGCACUGCGACACGGGCCAGACUCCUACGGGAGGCAGCAGUAAGGAAUAUUGCGCAAUGGGCGAAAGCCUGACGCAGCGACGCCGCGUGGGGGAUGAAGGUCUUCGGAUUGUAAACCCCUUUCGGGAGGGAAGAUGGAACGAGCAAUCGUUCGGACGGUACCUCCAGAAGCAGCCACGGCCAACUUCGUGCCAGCAGCCGCGGUAAUACGAAGGUGGCAAGCGUUGUUCGAAUUCACUGGGCGUACAGGGUGUGUAGGCGGUUUGGUAAGCCUUCUGUUAAAGCUUCGGGCCCAACCCGGAAAGCGCAGAGGGUACUGCCAGGCUAGAGGGUGGGAGAGGAGCGCGGAAUUCCCGGUGUAGCGGUGAAAUGCGUAGAGAUCGGGAGGAAGGCCGGUGGCGAAGGCGGCGCUCUGGAACAUACCUGACGCUGAGACACGAAAGCGUGGGGAGCAAACAGGAUUAGAUACCCUGGUAGUCCACGCCCUAAAUUAUGGAUACUAAGUGUCGGCGGGUUACCGCCGGUGCCGCAGCUAACGCAUUAAGUAUCCCGCCUGGGAAGUACGGCCGCAAGGUUGAAACUCAAAUGAAUUGACGG
RNAcentral lists this ribosomal RNA (911 nucleotides) under uncultured bacterium. Its description in RNAcentral is "bacterial SSU rRNA". It matches the Rfam family "Bacterial small subunit ribosomal RNA", at positions 8 to 916 of the family's 1533-position model. The record is from RNAcentral.